UUCUUGGAAUUAACUAAUACAAUAUUCUUGGUUUGAAUUGAAAUAUGAGCUUCAAGAAACACACAGACCUUUCUUUUAUUUUCUCAUGUUGAAUGCACUGAGUUUUUUUUCCUUUUUUUAAAAAAGCUUUAAAAUGUUUUUGUUCUUUGUUUCAACAUUCUCUCUACAUGAUUGCAAUUUGUUGUCUGGCAUUUGUCUUAACCAAUUAAAAUUAUUGUCUGAAAAGCCACAAGUGCCCAUCUAUUUUCCUUUUGCUGCAAGUUUCAGAAUGACAAAGAACAACGCGGUACUUUAUCAAGCCUUUCAAUUGAGAGGUUAGCUUGCAUAAUUAAACCUUAUUUUAUUUUGUUUUUGUUUUUAGGGUUUUACUCUCCAGCCUGAUUACCAGAAUAUUAUCAAUCCAGCAUCUGCAGCUGCACAAGUUGUUACCCAAGCAAUGGAGUAUGUUCGUUCAGGGUGCAGAAAUCCCCCAGCACAGACUGUGGAAUGGAAUAAUGAUUACUGCAGUAAUGGGGCCAUGCAGAGGGACAAAGCGCUGUAUCUUACCUGAAAAUAUUUUGGAAAUGCAUCUCUUCUUUUCUCUGAGGAAUGCAGGAAAGUCUUUUUCAUCAUGGAUUGCUUUAUGCAGUCAAGGCAGUUCUGCAUUUAUUUAGAACAUAUAAAGUCGCUAAGCACUUAGGACUAUAUUUGCUGGUGGGUCAUUCACUCUGGGAAAAAAAUGUCUUGUUCCUCCACCCCUCCUUUCUUUUUCUUUCUCCUUCCUUAAAUGGACAUUGCUUUUCUUCCUUCCUUGCAGGAGGAGGAUUGGACCAUUUGGAUUUUGUUGAUUUUUAUUUUUGCUGUGAAGUGCUGCGCUAGUAACUGCCUUAGCAACUGUAGAUGUCUUGGAUAAAAGUCCUGGAUUUUCCAUUGGUUUUCAUAAUGGGUGUUUAUAUGAAACUACUAAAGACUUUUAAAAUGGCUUUAUGUAGCAGUCAUAGCAAGUUGUAAAUAGCAUCUAUGUUUCACUCUCCUAGAGUAUAAAAUGUGAAUGGUUUUUGUAGCUAAUUGUACUUUGAAACUGGCUCAUUCCAGUUUAUUGAUUUCACAAAGGGGGUUAAAUUGGCAAACAUUCAUAUUUUUACUUCAUUUUUAAGCAACUGACUAAUAGUUCUAUAUUUUCAAACUCUGAAAAGAUGAAAAUUAUUCCCAAAUGAUUUUAAUUAAACAGAAAUUGGCUUUGUGUCAUUAUACAAAGAAAAAAGUGAUAUUGGGAAAAGAGCAAACACAUUUAUUUUGUACUGCCUAAAACUGCUUUUUUAUCACUUUAUGUGUAACAGUUAGUAAAUGUCAUUUAUGUCCUCUUAUGUAUAAAACUGCCAAAUGCUUUCUUGAUAUUUUAUUAUAUGCAGAAACAGAUUGGAAACAGCUAAAUUAUAAUCUUUACAUAUGGCUCUGUAUUAUUGUUUCUUCAUCCUGUGUCUGUAUUUAAUCUUUUUUAUGGAAGCUGUUGCGCCUAUUUAUGAAAUAAUAAAUAUAGGUGUUUGUAAGUAAAUUUGUUAGCAUCUUAAAAAGGAUUUUUUUAAAAAAAAUUACUUUUGUGGGCAUCAGUGUAUUUGCUGCUGAUAUGAUUUUUUUUCCUGUGAGAUAAAUAAAGCCAACCAGCUUUUGUGGCAGAAAAUGGAAAUAAAAA
This is a non-coding RNA of Thamnophis sirtalis, 1672 nucleotides long. The record is from RefSeq and is a predicted model, not a curated record. Lineage: Eukaryota; Metazoa; Chordata; Lepidosauria; Squamata; Natricidae.